UCACUGGAGGACUAGUGGCUAGGCCACGGUGCUCUCACUGUCGCAGCCUGGGUUCGAUUCCCGGCCAGGCAA
Non-coding RNA from Pangasianodon gigas (Mekong giant catfish), 72 nucleotides. The record is from the annotation of a GenBank genome assembly. NCBI's taxonomy places the organism in Eukaryota, Metazoa, Chordata, Actinopteri, Siluriformes, Pangasiidae.